Non-coding RNA from Acanthosepion pharaonis, 113 nucleotides. NCBI's taxonomy places the organism in Eukaryota, Metazoa, Mollusca, Cephalopoda, Sepiida, Sepiidae. The record is from the annotation of a GenBank genome assembly.
UUACGGCCACAUCAUGUUGAAACACAGGCUCCUGUAUGAUCACUGAAGUUAAGCCAUGUCAAGCCUGGUCAGUACCUAGAUGGGUGACCUCUUGGAAACACUACGUGCUGUAA